UGGCUCAGGAUGAACGCUGGCGGCAUGCUUUACACAUGCAAGUCGAACGGUAGAGGGGGCAACCCUCGAGAGUGGCGAACGGGUGAGUAAUAUAUCGGAACGUGCCCAGUCGUGGGGAUAACGUAGCGAAAGUUACGCUAAUACCGCAUACGAUCUACGGAUGAAAGCGGGGGACUCGCAAGAGCCUCGCGCGAUUGGAGCGGCCGAUAUCAGAUUAGGUAGUUGGUGGGGUAAAGGCUCACCAAGCCAACGAUCUGUAGCUGGUCUGAGAGGACGACCAGCCACACUGGAACUGAGACACGGUCCAGACUCCUACGGGAGGCAGCAGUGGGGAAUUUUGGACAAUGGACGCAAGUCUGAUCCAGCCAUUCCGCGUGCAGGAUGAAGGCCCUCGGGUUGUAAACUGCUUUUGUACGGAACGAAAAGGUCUCUCUUAAUACGGGGGGCUCAUGACGGUACCGUAAGAAUAAGCACCGGCUAACUACGUG
Molecule: ribosomal RNA, 488 nt
Filed under: uncultured bacterium
Lineage: Bacteria
Description: bacterial SSU rRNA
Rfam family: Bacterial small subunit ribosomal RNA
Source: RNAcentral